GAUGAACGCUGGCGGCGUGCCUAAUACAUGCAAGUCGAGCGAACAGACGAGGAGCUUGCUCCUCUGAUGUUAGCGGCGGACGGGUGAGUAACACGUGGAUAACCUACCUAUAAGACUGGGAUAACUUCGGGAAACCGGAGCUAAUACCGGAUAACAUGUUGAACCGCAUGGUUCAACAGUGAAAGACGGUCUUGCUGUCACUUAUAGAUGGAUCCGCGCCGCAUUAGAUAGUUGGUAAGGUAACGGCUUACCAAGGCAACGAUGCGUAGCCGACCUGAGAGGGGGAUCGGCCACACUGGAACUGAGACACGGUCCAGACUCCUACGGGAGGCAGCAGAAGGGAAUCUUACGCAAUGGGCGAAAGCCUGACGGAGCAACGCCGCGUGAGUGAAGAAGGUCUUCGGAUCGUAAAACUCUGUUAUUAGGGAAGAACAAAUGUGUAAGUAACUAUGCACGUCUUGACGGUACCUAAUCAGAAAGCCACGGCUAACUACGUG
This 497-nucleotide ribosomal RNA is filed under the name uncultured bacterium. Its description in RNAcentral is "partial 16S ribosomal RNA". It matches the Rfam family "Bacterial small subunit ribosomal RNA", at positions 28 to 507 of the family's 1533-position model. The record is from RNAcentral.